RNAcentral lists this ribosomal RNA (460 nucleotides) under uncultured bacterium. RNAcentral describes it as "partial 16S ribosomal RNA". It matches the Rfam family "Bacterial small subunit ribosomal RNA", at positions 338 to 795 of the family's 1533-position model. The record is from RNAcentral.
CCUACGGGUGGCAGCAGUGAGGAAUAUUGGUCAAUGGACGAGAGUCUGAACCAGCCAAGUAGCGUGAAGGAUGACUGCCCUAUGGGUUGUAAACUUCUUUUAUAAAGGAAUAAAACGAGGCACGUGUGCCUUUUUGCAUGUACUUUAUGAAUAAGGAUCGGCUAACUCCGUGCCAGCAGCCUCGGUAAUACGGAGGAUCCGAGCGUUAUCCGGAUUUAUUGGGUUUAAAGGGAGCGUAGAUGGGUUGUUAAGUCAGUUGUGAAAGUUUGCGGCUCAACCGUAAAAUUGCAAUUGAUACUGGCAGUCGUGAGUACAGUUGAGGUAGGCGGAAUUCGUGGUGUAGCGGUGAAAUGCUUAGAUAUCACGAAGAACCCCGAUUGCGAAGGCAGCUUACUAAACUGUGACUGACAUUGAUGCUCGAAAGUGUGGGUAUCAAACAGGAUUAGAUACCCCAGUAGUC